RNAcentral lists this ribosomal RNA (469 nucleotides) under uncultured bacterium. RNAcentral describes it as "partial 16S ribosomal RNA". It matches the Rfam family "Bacterial small subunit ribosomal RNA", at positions 28 to 507 of the family's 1533-position model. The record is from RNAcentral.
GAUGAACGCUGGCGGCGUGCUUAACACAUGCCAGUCGAACGGUGAACACGGAGCUUGCUCUGUGGGAUCAGUGGCGAACGGGUGAGUAACACGUGAGCAACCUGCCCCUGACUCUGGGAUAAGCGCUGGAAACGGCGUCUAAUACUGGAUAUGUGACGUGACCGCAUGGUCUGCGUUUGGAAAGAUUUUUCGGUUGGGGAUGGGCUCGCGGCCUAUCAGCUUGUUGGUGAGGUAAUGGCUCACCAAGGCGUCGACGGGUAGCCGGCCUGAGAGGGUGACCGGCCACACUGGGACUGAGACACGGCCCAGACUCCUACGGGAGGCAGCAGUGGGGAAUAUUGCACAAUGGGCGCAAGCCUGAUGCAGCAACGCCGCGUGAGGGAUGACGGCCUUCGGGUUGUAAACCUCUUUUAGCAGGGAAGAAGCGAAAGUGACGGUACCUGCAGAAAAAGCGCCGGCUAACUACGUG